RNAcentral lists this ribosomal RNA (444 nucleotides) under uncultured Prevotella sp. RNAcentral's name for it is "bacterial SSU rRNA". It matches the Rfam family "Bacterial small subunit ribosomal RNA", at positions 354 to 794 of the family's 1533-position model. Lineage: Bacteria; Pseudomonadati; Bacteroidota; Bacteroidia; Bacteroidales; Prevotellaceae. The record is from RNAcentral.
UGAGGGAAUAUUGGGUCAAUGGGCGCAAGCCUGAACCAGCCAAGUAGCGUGCAGGAAGACGGCCCUAUGGGUUGUAAACUGCUUUCAGUCGGGAAUAAUUCGUCGGUCGUGACCGGCGUUGCAGGUACCGUCAUAAGAAGGACCGGCUAAUUCCGUGCCAGCAGCCGCGGUAAUACGGAAGGUCCGGGCGUUAUCCGGAUUUAUUGGGUUUAAAGGGAGCGUAGGUGGACUGUCAAGUCAGUUGUGAAAGCCUGGUGCUCAACGCCAGAGGUGCCGCGGGAACUGCAGGUCUUGAGUCGUGACGAGGGCGGCGGAAUGCGAAGUGUAGCGGUGAAAUGCUUAGAUAGUUCGCAGAACGCCGAUUGCGAAGGCAGCCGCCCAGGGACGCACUGACGCUGAGGCACGAAGGCAUGGGGAUCGAACAGGAUUAGAUACCCUGGUAGU